This 427-nucleotide ribosomal RNA is filed under the name uncultured Halomonas sp. RNAcentral's name for it is "bacterial SSU rRNA". It matches the Rfam family "Bacterial small subunit ribosomal RNA", at positions 355 to 774 of the family's 1533-position model. Lineage: Bacteria; Pseudomonadati; Pseudomonadota; Gammaproteobacteria; Oceanospirillales; Halomonadaceae. The record is from RNAcentral.
UGGGGAAUAUUGGACAAUGGGCGAAAGCCUGAUCCAGCCAUGCCGCGUGUGUGAAGAAGGCCCUCGGGUUGUAAAGCACUUUCAGCGAGGAAGAACGCCUAGGGGUUAAUACCCCCUAGGAAAGACAUCACUCGCAGAAGAAGCACCGGCUAACUCCGUGCCAGCAGCCGCGGUAAUACGGAGGGUGCAAGCGUUAAUCGGAAUUACUGGGCGUAAAGCGCGCGUAGGUGGCUUGAUAAGCCGGUUGUGAAAGCCCCGGGCUCAACCUGGGAACGGCAUCCGGAACUGUCAAGCUAGAGUGCAGGAGAGGAAGGUAGAAUUCCCGGUGUAGCGGUGAAAUGCGUAGAGAUCGGGAGGAAUACCAGUGGCGAAGGCGGCCUUCUGGACUGACACUGACACUGAGGUGCGAAAGCGUGGGUAGCAAACA